This 253-nucleotide ribosomal RNA is filed under the name uncultured bacterium. RNAcentral describes it as "partial 16S ribosomal RNA". It matches the Rfam family "Bacterial small subunit ribosomal RNA", at positions 524 to 776 of the family's 1533-position model. The record is from RNAcentral.
GACAGAGGAGGCGAGCGUUAUCCGGAGUUAUUGGGCGUAAAGGGUACGUAGGCGGCUGGUCAAGUCUGGGUUUAAAGACCACAGCUUAACUGUGGGGGGGUCUUGGAAACUGACCGGCUGGAGUGGGGCAGGGGUUGCGGGAAUUCCCGGUGUAGCGGUGAAAUGCGUAGAGAUCGGGAAGAACACCUGAGGCGAAAGCGCGCAACUGGGGCCUAACUGACGCUGAGGUACGAAAGCUAGGGGAGCGAAUGGG